UUAAGCGACUAAGCGUACACGGUGGAUGCCCUGGCAGUCAGAGGCGAUGAAGGACGUGCUAAUCUGCGAUAAGCGUCGGUAAGGUGAUAUGAACCGUUAUAACCGGCGAUUUCCGAAUGGGGAAACCCAGUGUGAUUCGUCACACUAUCAUUAACUGAAUCCAUAGGUUAAUGAGGCGAACCGGGGGAACUGAAACAUCUAAGUACCCCGAGGAAAAGAAAUCAACCGAGAUUCCCCCAGUAGCGGCGAGCGAACGGGGAGCAGCCCAGAGCCUGAAUCAGUGUGUGUGUUAGUGGAAGCGUCUGGAAAGGCGCGCGAUACAGGGUGACAGCCCCGUACACAAAAAUGCACAUGCUGUGAGCUCGAUGAGUAGGGCGGGACACGUGGUAUCCUGUCUGAAUAUGGGGGGACCAUCCUCCAAGGCUAAAUACUCCUGACUGACCGAUAGUGAACCAGUACCGUGAGGGAAAGGCGAAAAGAACCCCGGCGAGGGGAGUGAAAAAGAACCUGAAACCGUGUACGUACAAGCAGUGGGAGCCUCUUUAUGGGGUGACUGCGUACCUUUUGUAUAAUGGGUCAGCGACUUAUAUUCUGUAGCAAGGUUAACCGAAUAGGGGAGCCGAAGGGAAACCGAGUCUUAACUGGGCGUUAAGUUGCAGGGUAUAGACCCGAAACCCGGUGAUCUAGCCAUGGGCAGGUUGAAGGUUGGGUAACACUAACUGGAGGACCGAACCGACUAAUGUUGAAAAAUUAGCGGAUGACUUGUGGCUGGGGGUGAAAGGCCAAUCAAACCGGGAGAUAGCUGGUUCUCCCCGAAAGCUAUUUAGGUAGCGCCUCGUGAAUUCAUCUCCGGGGGUAGAGCACUGUUUCGGCAAGGGGGUCAUCCCGACUUACCAACCCGAUGCAAACUGCGAAUACCGGAGAAUGUUAUCACGGGAGACACACGGCGGGUGCUAACGUCCGUCGUGAAGAGGGAAACAACCCAGACCGCCAGCUAAGGUCCCAAAGUCAUGGUUAAGUGGGAAACGAUGUGGGAAGGCCCAGACAGCCAGGAUGUUGGCUUAGAAGCAGCCAUCAUUUAAAGAAAGCGUAAUAGCUCACUGGUCGAGUCGGCCUGCGCGGAAGAUGUAACGGGGCUAAACCAUGCACCGAAGCUGCGGCAGCGACACUAUGUGUUGUUGGGUAGGGGAGCGUUCUGUAAGCCUGCGAAGGUGUACUGUGAGGUAUGCUGGAGGUAUCAGAAGUGCGAAUGCUGACAUAAGUAACGAUAAAGCGGGUGAAAAGCCCGCUCGCCGGAAGACCAAGGGUUCCUGUCCAACGUUAAUCGGGGCAGGGUGAGUCGACCCCUAAGGCGAGGCCGAAAGGCGUAGUCGAUGGGAAACAGGUUAAUAUUCCUGUACUUGGUGUUACUGCGAAGGGGGGACGGAGAAGGCUAUGUUGGCCGGGCGACGGUUGUCCCGGUUUAAGCGUGUAGGCUGGUUUUCCAGGCAAAUCCGGAAAAUCAAGGCUGAGGCGUGAUGACGAGGCACUACGGUGCUGAAGCAACAAAUGCCCUGCUUCCAGGAAAAGCCUCUAAGCAUCAGGUAACAUCAAAUCGUACCCCAAACCGACACAGGUGGUCAGGUAGAGAAUACCAAGGCGCUUGAGAGAACUCGGGUGAAGGAACUAGGCAAAAUGGUGCCGUAACUUCGGGAGAAGGCACGCUGAUAUGUAGGUGAAGUCCCUCGCGGAUGGAGCUGAAAUCAGUCGAAGAUACCAGCUGGCUGCAACUGUUUAUUAAAAACACAGCACUGUGCAAACACGAAAGUGGACGUAUACGGUGUGACGCCUGCCCGGUGCCGGAAGGUUAAUUGAUGGGGUUAGCGGUAACGCGAAGCUCUUGAUCGAAGCCCCGGUAAACGGCGGCCGUAACUAUAACGGUCCUAAGGUAGCGAAAUUCCUUGUCGGGUAAGUUCCGACCUGCACGAAUGGCGUAAUGAUGGCCAGGCUGUCUCCACCCGAGACUCAGUGAAAUUGAACUCGCUGUGAAGAUGCAGUGUACCCGCGGCAAGACGGAAAGACCCCGUGAACCUUUACUAUAGCUUGACACUGAACAUUGAGCCUUGAUGUGUAGGAUAGGUGGGAGGCUUUGAAGUGUGGACGCCAGUCUGCAUGGAGCCGACCUUGAAAUACCACCCUUUAAUGUUUGAUGUUCUAACGUUGGCCCCUAAUCGGGGUUGCGGACAGUGUCUGGUGGGUAGUUUGACUGGGGCGGUCUCCUCCUAAAGAGUAACGGAGGAGCACGAAGGUUGGCUAAUCCUGGUCGGACAUCAGGAGGUUAGUGCAAUGGCAUAAGCCAGCUUGACUGCGAGCGUGACGGCGCGAGCAGGUGCGAAAGCAGGUCAUAGUGAUCCGGUGGUUCUGAAUGGAAGGGCCAUCGCUCAACGGAUAAAAGGUACUCCGGGGAUAACAGGCUGAUACCGCCCAAGAGUUCAUAUCGACGGCGGUGUUUGGCACCUCGAUGUCGGCUCAUCACAUCCUGGGGCUGAAGUAGGUCCCAAGGGUAUGGCUGUUCGCCAUUUAAAGUGGUACGCGAGCUGGGUUUAGAACGUCGUGAGACAGUUCGGUCCCUAUCUGCCGUGGGCGCUGGAGAACUGAGGGGGGCUGCUCCUAGUACGAGAGGACCGGAGUGGACGCAUCACUGGUGUUCGGGUUGUCAUGCCAAUGGCACUGCCCGGUAGCUAAAUGCGGAAGAGAUAAGUGCUGAAAGCAUCUAAGCACGAAACUUGCCCCGAGAUGAGUUCUCCCUGACUCCCUGAGAGUCCUGAAGGAACGUUGAAGACGACGACGUUGAUAGGCCGGGUGUGUAAGCGCAGCGAUGCGUUGAGCUAACCGGUACUAAUGAACCGUGAGGCUUAACCUU
RNAcentral lists this ribosomal RNA (2902 nucleotides) under human metagenome. RNAcentral describes it as "bacterial LSU rRNA". It matches the Rfam family "Bacterial large subunit ribosomal RNA". The record is from RNAcentral.